CACUAUGCUUAGCCCUAAACAAAAAUAAUUAAUUAUUCGCCAGGGGACAACGAGCUCUCUAACCACAUUAGACCCCUCCAGCUUAAAACCCAAAGGACUUGGCGGUGCUUUACUUCCACCUAGAGGAGCCUGUUUUAGAAUCGAUAUUCCCCGAUUAACCUCACCUUCUUUAGCUCCCCAGCUUAUAUACCACCGUCGUCAGCUCACCCUGCAAAGGACUAUAAGUAAGCGCAAUCGAAGAGCCCCAAUACGUCAGGUCAAGGUGUAGCCAAUAAGAAGGAUAAAAUGGGCUACAUUUUCUGACCCAGAAUACAAACGGAACACAUAUUUAAAACCUGUGUGAAGGCGGAUUUAGCAGUAAGAUUAGAAUAGAGUGCUAAUCUGAAAUUGGCUCUAAAGCGUGCACACACCGCCCGUCACCCUCCUUAACCAAAUCCAGCAAUUUAUAAAUAAUACACCACAACGAUUUAGCCAAACAAGGAGGCAAGUCGUAA
This 494-nucleotide ribosomal RNA is filed under the name Trimma haimassum (blood-spot pygmy goby). RNAcentral's name for it is "partial small subunit ribosomal RNA". It matches the Rfam family "Microsporidia small subunit ribosomal RNA", at positions 752 to 1274 of the family's 1311-position model. Lineage: Eukaryota; Metazoa; Chordata; Actinopteri; Gobiiformes; Gobiidae. The record is from RNAcentral.